Molecule: long non-coding RNA, 614 nt
Organism: Anneissia japonica
Lineage: Eukaryota; Metazoa; Echinodermata; Crinoidea; Comatulida; Comatulidae
Exons: 3
Source: RefSeq, a predicted model, not a curated record
GUUUCAGUAGUAUUUUGUUCCCUUCCAGUUUGUUCCUGUACUAAUAGUGUUAUGACAAUUGGAAUAUUUUUUGUUGGCGCCUUUGUUGGAGUCUUUGGAGUAAUAGUUGGAUUGAUCUGCUACAAAAAAAUUAAGCAGAAGACGCAUGCCAACGAGGAAGACACAGGAAAGAGAAAACAAGAUACGUACAUGGAAUACAAACCUACUGGUAAUGCCCAUAUUUACCAAGAUAUACACUUUACAGAAGAAGAAACAGCCGCAUGUUAGUGUUCAGCCGGGAAUGAAGAAGAACAAACUGAAAGAUUAGUUAAAAACAAAAGCAGUGGUUUUUUUUUUUUUUAACCCGGUCCUUUGAUAUUAUAUUUUCUUAUUCUUUGAAGCGAUUUCUUCUUGAAAUAUAAGAUUUUUCUAGAAAAUGUAUUUGUUAUGUAUGUUCAUUCUAAUUUAUGAAAAGUACUGUAGUCGACUGUCUGUACGAAUGUAAAUUAUAAUUUGAAUUACUUUUUUUUAAGAGUUUCGUAACUAGGGUAAAUAAAGUACCUGUUCCUAUGGUUUAUCUUCAUUUUCUACUAAAUUUAAAUGUAAUCAGAUUGUAUCUUCUCUGACGAGUUUAU